GAGAAAAAAAAAAAAAGCUCAACUCUGGCAUGAUUUUGUCUGUCUUUUGGCAGGUUUUUCUUGUUUACCGAAGCAGGAGGAGCUGUUGAUGGAAUGCAGCCAUUUGUUUGACCCUUUGGCCGUCUCGAGGAGGAAGGCCGGAGACAGGAGACGCGGCAGCUCGCUUCUCCUUGUCAGUUGCAGGCUCCACGUCAGGCUGUUUGGCGCAUCAGCUUUCCUGUGAAGCCCCCGACGCUGCUGCAGACAGCAGAGAUGGAUGCUUACACGGUGGAAAGUGCAAAAUUAAAAGGAAGAGUCUGAUGAAGUGGCAGGAGGCACCUCCGGAUAGAGACGAAGGAGAUGGAAUGAUCAUCCUGACUUGAAGGCUGAAGCGCCGAGGAGAGGCUGAUGGAUGUGAGGCAAGGGGGGAAGAUGUUUGUGUGGUAAAAAAAAAAAAAAAAAAAAAAAAAAGAGAGAACAACUGAAAAUGUUUCUGUGUGAUCCUUGUUGCAAUGUGGGCCGGGCAUAUAUUUCUCAGCUGGCAGGUUGGUCUCCUUUUUCUUUUCACGGUUAGUUUUUUUGUUUUUGGUCAAA
Molecule: long non-coding RNA, 573 nt
Organism: Fundulus heteroclitus (mummichog)
Lineage: Eukaryota; Metazoa; Chordata; Actinopteri; Cyprinodontiformes; Fundulidae
Exons: 3
Source: RefSeq, a predicted model, not a curated record